CCUACGGGUGGCAGCAGUGAGGAAUAUUGGUCAAUGGACGGAAGUCUGAACCAGCCAUGCCGCGUGCAGGAAGACGGCUCUAUGAGUUGUAAACUGCUUUUGUACAAGGGUAAACCUGAAUACGUGUAUUCAGCUGAAAGUACUGUACGAAUAAGGAUCGGCUAACUCCGCGACAGCAGCCGCGGUAAUACGGAGGAGCCAAGCGUUAUCCGGAUUUAUUGGGUGUAAAGGGUGCGUAGGCGGAUUGAUAAGUUAGAGGUGAAAUGUCCGAGCUUAACUCGGGAACUGCGUGUAAUACUGUUGAGCUAGAGAGUAGAUGCGGUAGGCGGAAUGUAUGGUGUAGCGGUGAAAUGCUUAGAGAUCAUGCAGAACACCGGUGGCGAAGGCAGCUUACUAAUCUAUAUCUGACGUUGAGGCACGAAAGCGUGGGGAGCAAACAGGAUUAGAUACCCGGGUAGUC
This 460-nucleotide ribosomal RNA is filed under the name uncultured bacterium. RNAcentral's name for it is "partial 16S ribosomal RNA". It matches the Rfam family "Bacterial small subunit ribosomal RNA", at positions 338 to 795 of the family's 1533-position model. The record is from RNAcentral.